Molecule: non-coding RNA, 68 nt
Filed under: Treponema sp.
Lineage: Bacteria; Pseudomonadati; Spirochaetota; Spirochaetia; Treponematales; Treponemataceae
Source: RNAcentral
AAGCGAAACUCCCGCUCACGGCGGGAGUCAUCCUGCCGCGGCGGGCAGGGUCUGACGAGCGGCCAAAA